This 162-nucleotide ribosomal RNA is filed under the name uncultured bacterium. Its description in RNAcentral is "partial 16S rRNA". It matches the Rfam family "Bacterial small subunit ribosomal RNA", at positions 358 to 511 of the family's 1533-position model. The record is from RNAcentral.
GGAAUCUUCGGCAAUGGACGAAAGUCUGACCGAGCAACGCCGCGUGAGUGAAGAAGGUUUUCGGAUCGUAAAACUCUGUUGGUAGAGAAGAACGUUGGUGAGAGUGGAAAGCUCAUCAAGUGACGGUAACUACCCAGAAAGGGACGGCUAACUACGAGCCAG